This 2094-nucleotide ribosomal RNA is filed under the name Branchinella occidentalis. RNAcentral's name for it is "eukaryotic LSU rRNA". It matches the Rfam family "Eukaryotic large subunit ribosomal RNA", at positions 38 to 1882 of the family's 3401-position model. The record is from RNAcentral. Lineage: Eukaryota; Metazoa; Arthropoda; Branchiopoda; Anostraca; Thamnocephalidae.
GCAUAUUAGUCAGCGGAGGAAAAGAAACUAACAAGGAUUCCCCCAGUAGCGGCGAGCGAAGAGGGAAAAGCCCAGCACCAAGGGCCGGCGGCGGCGUCCCCGCAGUCGUCCGGCCGAUGCGGUGUUCAGGAACUUCCAGAACCGUCGGGAGCCGAAUCUAAAGUCCUCAUGAAUGUGGCCCGAUUGCCCGAAGAGGGUGUCAGGCCCGUAGGAUAGGCGCCCGGUGGCCCACGGAAGCUUCCCUAGAGUCGGGUUGCUUGAGCGUGCAGCCCCAAGCAGGUGGUAAACUCCAUCUAAGGCUAAAUACGGAUACGAGACCGAUAGAGGACAAGUACCGCGAGGGAAAGUUGAAAAGAACUUUGAAGAGAGAGUUCAACAGUGCGUGAAAUCCUCCAGGGGGUUAAACGGAUGGACCUUCGAAGCUCGAGCCGCGCGCCGGGAUCAGCGUUCGUGCCUGCCCUGCCAUGGCCGGGCGGCGUCGGCUUGCCGGCGUCGUCCGCGCUGCGGCUGAGCGCGGGUGCGGGCGUGUAGUCCCGGAGCGGAUUCGUACCCUGCACGCGACUGGUUGGGCGUCAGACGGCUUCGGUUCUGCGGCGCUUCGGCGUCGUCGUCCGGACGCCCGGCGACCGACCGGUUCGUUCUAUCUGGAGUCCGCGGGACAAUCGUGGCGAGCCCAAAAGGCUGUCGGCCGCGGGGCCCGCGUCCGCGGACGCGCAGGGAGUAGGCGAGACCCAUCCGACCCGUCUUGAAACACGGACCAAGGAGUCUAACAUGUGCGCGAGUCGUAGGUUGAAAAAGACCGAAGGCGAAAUGAAAGUGAAGGCACUCGCGAGGGUGUCGAGGGGAGAUCCCUCUCCACCUAGGUGGUUUGGGCGCAUCCCCGGGGCGUCGCGCUCCCGCCGCGGAUGCGACGCACCAAGAGCGUACACGUUGGGACCCGAAAGAUGGUGACCUAUGCCUGGCCAGGUCGAAGUCAGGGGAAACCCUGAUGGAGGACCGCAGCGAUUCUGACGUGCAAAUCGAUCGUCGGAGCUUGGUAUAGGGGCGAAAGACUAAUCGAACCGUCUAGUAGCUGGUUCCUCCCGAAGUUUCCCUCAGGAUAGCUGGCGCUCAAUGCAAGGAGACGGAGUCUCAUCCGGUAAAGCGAAUGAUUAGAGGCCUUGGGGCCGUAACGACCUCAACCUAUUCUCAAACUUUCAAUGGGUGAGAAGCUCAGCUGAACUUGAUGUGCAGCAGAGAUUUCGGAUCCGAGUGCCAAGUGGGCCACUUUUGGUAAGCAGAACUGGCGCUGUGGGAUGAACCAAACGUUCGGUUAAAGCGCCUAAACGACGCAUAUUCCGGAUCCCACGAAAAGGAGUUGGUUGCUCCAGACAGCAGGACGGUGGCCAUGGAGGUCGGAACCCGCUUAGGAGUGUGUAACAACUCACCUGCCGAAGCAACUAGCCCUUAAAAUGGGAGGCGCUAUAGCGUUGUGCUUAUACCGGACCGCCGGACGUAGAGCUCGUCGGCCCUCGUGGUCGGCGCUGACACGCCGGCGAGUAGGGAGGUCGCACCGGUCGCGUUGAAGGGUCUGGGCGUGGGCCUGCCUGGAGCGGCCGGUGGCGCAGAUCUUGGUGGUAGUAGCAAAUACUCAAGAGGGAUCCUUGAGGCCUGACGUGGGGAAGGGUUCCAUGUGAACAGUGGUUGGACAUGGGUCAGUCGGUCCUAAGCCGAACCUGAAAUGGGUCCAUGACGAGCGCUUCGAAAUGACACAGGGCGUCACGGAGACGUGCGAGCUCGUGGAUAGGCGAAAGGGAAUCCCGUUCUCAUUCGGGAACCUGGUUGGGGAACCGUUCGAGCUCUCGGGUUCGUCGUGGUAACACGAAUAAACCUUGGGAAGCUGGCGGAGACGCCGGGAAGAGUUUUCUUUUCUGCUUAAGGGAGCAACGACCCUGGAAUUCUGUCGUGGAGAGAUAGGGUUAUGCAUCCGAAGAGCGUCGCAUUUGUGCGACGUCCGUGCGUUUCCGCCGGCCCAUGAAAACCAAGGGGAGGGCCACGUGAACGAUCCCACCAGACCGUACCGAUAACCGCAUCAGGUCCCCAAGGUAACAGCCC